Molecule: ribosomal RNA, 254 nt
Filed under: uncultured bacterium
Lineage: Bacteria
Description: partial 16S ribosomal RNA
Rfam family: Bacterial small subunit ribosomal RNA
Source: RNAcentral
UACGGGGGGAGCAAGCGUUGUUCGGAUUUACUGGGCGUAAAGGGCGCGUAGGCGGCCACUGCAAGUCAGUUGUGAAAUCUCCGGGCUUAACCCGGAGCGGCCAAGUGAUACUGUCGUGCUAGAGUGCGGAAGGGGCUACUGGAAUUCUCGGUGUAGCGGUGAAAUGCGUAGAUAUCGAGAGGAACACCUGCGGCGACGGCGGGUAGCUGGGCCGACACUGACGCUGAGGCGCGAAAGCCAGGGGAGCGAACGGG